This 239-nucleotide microRNA precursor is filed under the name Medicago truncatula (barrel medic). RNAcentral describes it as "miR5253 stem-loop (mtr-MIR5253)". The record is from miRBase by way of RNAcentral. Lineage: Eukaryota; Viridiplantae; Streptophyta; Magnoliopsida; Fabales; Fabaceae.
GAUUAUCGGAGGAUGAAAAUGAUUAUGUUGGAGGGUUAGGGUUUGGGUUUCAAGCAUCCAUUCAGGAUAGAUGUUUUGGACAACAACUCAUCUUCAAGGGUUUUCAAUCGAUUAUCGGAAGAUGAAAAUGAUUGAAAACGCUUGAAGAUGAGUUGUUGUCCACAGCAUCUAUCCCAUAAUGGAUGCUUGAAACCCAAAACCUAACCCUUCAACAUAAUCAUUUUCAUAUUCGGAUAAUC